Molecule: ribosomal RNA, 460 nt
Filed under: uncultured bacterium
Lineage: Bacteria
Description: partial 16S ribosomal RNA
Rfam family: Bacterial small subunit ribosomal RNA
Source: RNAcentral
CCUACGGGAGGCAGCAGUGAGGAAUAUUGGUCAAUGGGCGUAAGCCUGAACCAGCCAAGUCGCGUGAGGGAUGAAGGUUCUAUGGAUCGUAAACCUCUUUUAUAAGGGAAUAAAGUGUGGGACGUGUCCUGUUUUGUAUGUACCUUCUGAAUAAGGAUCGGCUAAAUCCGUGCCAGCAGCCGCGGUAAUACGGAGGAUCCGAGCGUUAUCCGGAUUUAUUGGGUUUAAAGGGUGAGUAGGCGGCCUUUUAAGUAAGCGGUGAAAGUCUGUGGCUCAACCAUAGAAUUGCCGUUGAAACUGGGAGGCUUGAGUAUGUUUGAGGCAGGCGGAAUGCGUGGGGUAGCGGUGAAAUGCUUAGAUAUCACGCAGAACCCCGAUUGCGAAGGCAGACUGCCAAGCCAUGACUGACGCUGAUGCACGAAAGCGUGGGGAUCAAACAGGAUUAGAUACCCCAGUAGUC